Molecule: ribosomal RNA, 531 nt
Filed under: uncultured prokaryote
Description: bacterial SSU rRNA
Rfam family: Bacterial small subunit ribosomal RNA
Source: RNAcentral
CACAUGCAAGUCGAGCGAGACCUUCGGGUCUAGCGGCGGACGGGUUAGUAACGCGUGGGAACGUGCCCUUUACUACGGAAUAGUCCCGGGAAACUGGGUUUAAUACCGUAUACGCCCUUCGGGGGAAAGAUUUAUCGGUAAAGGAUCGGCCCGCGUUAGAUUAGAUAGUUGGUGGGGUAAUGGCCUACCAAGUCUACGAUCUAUAGCUGGUUUGAGAGGAUGAUCAGCAACACUGGGACUGAGACACGGCCCAGACUCCUACGGGAGGCAGCAGUGGGGAAUCUUAGACAAUGGGCGCAAGCCUGAUCUAGCCAUGCCGCGUGAGUGACGAAGGCCUUAGGGUCGUAAAGCUCUUUCGCCAGGGAUGAUAAUGACAGUACCUGGUAAAGAAACCCCGGCUAACUCCGUGCCAGCAGCCGCGGUAAUACGGAGGGGGUUAGCGUUGUUCGGAAUUACUGGGCGUAAAGCGCACGUAGGCGGACUGGAAAGUUGGGGGUGAAAUCCCGGGGCUCAACCUCGGAACUGCCUCCA